GAGAAGUCAGGCCAGAUUAAGCCAUA
Molecule: long non-coding RNA, 26 nt
Filed under: dengue virus type 1
Lineage: Riboviria; Orthornavirae; Kitrinoviricota; Flasuviricetes; Amarillovirales; Flaviviridae
Description: partial sfRNA1
Source: RNAcentral